This 511-nucleotide ribosomal RNA is filed under the name Edusella sp. BMNH#704429. Its description in RNAcentral is "partial 16S ribosomal RNA". It matches the Rfam family "Bacterial large subunit ribosomal RNA", at positions 1819 to 2600 of the family's 2925-position model. The record is from RNAcentral. Lineage: Eukaryota; Metazoa; Arthropoda; Insecta; Coleoptera; Chrysomelidae.
GUCUUUUUGUUUAAAAUUUAAAGUCUGUCCUGCCCAAUGAUUUUUUGAAUGGCCGCGGUAUUUUGACCGUGCUAAGGUAGCAUAAUCAUUAGUUUUUUAAUUAAAGACUGGUAUGAAAGGUUUGAUGAAAAAAUUUCUGUCUCUGGUUAAUUUUUCUUGAAAUUUAUUUUUAAGUAAAAAAGCUUAAAUUUUUUUGAAAGACGAUAAGACCCUAUAGAGUUUUACUAAUUUUUUAUUAUUUUUUAUUUGAAUAUUUAUAUAAUUAUUAAUAAAUUAGUUUGAUUGGGGUGAUUGUAAAAUUUAAUAAACUUUUAUUUAAAUUAAUACAUAGAUUUAUGAAAUUUUGAUCUGUUAUUAAUGAUUACAAGAUUAAAUUACCUUAGGGAUAACAGCGUAAUUUUUCUUUAGAGUUCUUAUCAAAAUGAAAGUUUGCGACCUCGAUGUUGGAUUAAGAUAAAAUUUUGGUGAAGAAGCUAAAAAUUUAGGUCUGUUCGACCUUUAAAAUCUUACA